UACGUAGGGGGCAAGCGUUGUCCGGAAUUACUGGGCGUAAAGGGCGCGUAGGCGGCCUGUUAAGUCGAACGUGAAAUCCCCGGGCUCAACCCGGGAACUGCGUCCGAUACUGGCAGGCUUGAAUUCGGGAGAGGGAUGCGGAAUUCCAGGUGUAGCGGUGAAAUGCGUAGAUAUCUGGAGGAACACCGGUGGCGAAGGCGGCAUCCUGGACCGAGAUUGACGCUGAGGCGCGAAAGCCAGGGGAGCAAACGGG
This 253-nucleotide ribosomal RNA is filed under the name uncultured bacterium. Its description in RNAcentral is "partial 16S ribosomal RNA". It matches the Rfam family "Bacterial small subunit ribosomal RNA", at positions 524 to 776 of the family's 1533-position model. The record is from RNAcentral.